CCAAAACAUUGUCAGCCAUAACUAUGAACGCUCAUUAGCACAGAAUUGGGGAUAACAUUAUGUACGUGGUAAUUAUGAAACUGGACCAGGUAACUAGAAUGGCAUCGAUCACCGGAACAGUUUAAAGAGAUCUUUAAGUCAGUUUGACGGGACAGGCUAAUCUACUACCCAACCAGAAUUGAACAGAAUUCAAGGGUACAUCAAAAUCUGCAUUUUAAAUACCAAAACUAACUAAAGUAUUCAGUUGAUGAACUCAGUUGCCUGUGUACCAUGAGGGUUUAGUGUAAACUUUCAAUGAAUCAAAUCCACUUUUAUAAAUAAUAACAAUUACACAACGUUGAGGUCAAUAACGUGGGCAUCUACAACUAGCGAAGUCCCGGCAAAGAUAUAUUUUUUUUAAAAUUCCAAUCCACAUGCCUCACUUGUAAUAAACACGCAUCGUUCAAUUCUAUAGUACUGAUUACUGGUACGUAAUUAUGUUUAAUAGUAAUAAUCACAUAGUUAUGGUCUUACUAGAGAUGAACUAGAGUCUGUGAAACUAUCCACAUGUAUCAGUUGUAAUAAACAUUACAUCUUUCAA
Patella vulgata (common limpet) is the source of this 580-nucleotide long non-coding RNA. RefSeq lists it as uncharacterized. NCBI's taxonomy places the organism in Eukaryota, Metazoa, Mollusca, Gastropoda, Patellidae. The record is from RefSeq and is a predicted model, not a curated record. The transcript is spliced from 2 exons.